GAGUGCGCAGCUAUGUGGCCUUAGCUUUGCAAAAGCUAUUGAGAAUGUUUAUUCCGUACUUU
RNAcentral lists this transfer RNA (62 nucleotides) under Rhinebothrium sp. 1. Its description in RNAcentral is "tRNA-Cys". Lineage: Eukaryota; Metazoa; Platyhelminthes; Cestoda; Rhinebothriidea; Rhinebothriidae. The record is from RNAcentral.